CAAUAGCGUAUAUUAAAGUUGUUGCAGUUAAAAAGCUCGUAGUUGGAUUUCUGGUGGGAGCGAUCGGUCUGGCGCUUAGCGCGAGUACUUGCAUCGUCUCCGGCCAUCCUUGGGGAGAGUCUGUCUGGCAUUAAGUUGUCGGGCAGAGGAUCCUCAUCGUUUACUGUGAAAAAAUUAAAGUGUUCAAAGCAGGCUUAUGCCGUUGAAUAUAUUAGCAUGGAAUAAUAAGAUAGGACUUUGGUACUAUUUUGUUGGUUUGCGCACCAAAGUAAUGAUUAAUAGGGACAGUUGGGGGUAUUCGUAUUCCGUUGUCAGAGGUGAAAUUCUUGGAUUUACGGAAGACGAACUACUGCGAAAGCAUUUACCAAGGAUGUUUUCAUUAA
This 383-nucleotide ribosomal RNA is filed under the name uncultured eukaryote. Its description in RNAcentral is "partial 18S ribosomal RNA". It matches the Rfam family "Eukaryotic small subunit ribosomal RNA", at positions 592 to 976 of the family's 1831-position model. The record is from RNAcentral.